GGUUAAGCGACUAAGCGUACACGGUGGAUGCCCAGGCAGUCAGAGGCGAUGAAGGGCGUGCUAAUCUGCGAUAAGCGUCGGUAAGGUGAUAUGAACCGCAACAACCGACGAUACCCGAAUGGGGAAACCCAGUGCAAUCCGUUGCACUAUCAUGUCAUGAAUACAUAGUGGCAUGAGGCGAACCGGGGGAACUGAAACAUCUAAGUACCCCGAGGAAAAGAAAUCAACCGAGAUUCCCCCAGUAGCGGCGAGCGAACGGGGAACAGCCCAGAACCUGAAUCAGUUUGUGCCUUAGUGGAAGCGUCUGGAAAGUCGCGCAGUAAAGGGUGACAGCCCCGUACACAAAAAGGCACUUGCUGUGAGUUCGAUGAGUAGGGCGGGACACGUGACAUCCUGUCUGAAUAUGGGGGGACCAUCCUCCAAGGCUAAAUACUCCUGACUGACCGAUAGUGAACCAGUACCGUGAGGGAAAGGCGAAAAGAACCCCGGCGAGGGGAGUGAAACAGAACCUGAAACCGUGUACGUACAAGCAGUGGGAGCACCUUCGUGGUGUGACUGCGUACCUUUUGUAUAAUGGGUCAGCGACUUAUAUUCUGUAGCAAGGUUAACCGUAUAGGGGAGCCGCAGGGAAACCGAGUCUUAACUGGGCGUUAAGUUGCAGGGUAUAGACCCGAAACCCGGUGAUCUAGCCAUGGGCAGGUUGAAGGUUGGGUAACACUAACUGGAGGACCGAACCGACUAAUGUUGAAAAAUUAGCGGAUGACCUGUGGCUGGGGGUGAAAGGCCAAUCAAACCGGGAGAUAGCUGGUUCUCCCCGAAAGCUAUUUAGGUAGCGCCUCGUGAAUUCAUCUCCGGGGGUAGAGCACUGUUUCGGCUAGGGGGCCAUCCCGGCUUACCAACCCGAUGCAAACUGCGAAUACCGGAGAAUGUUAUCACGGGAGACACACGGCGGGUGCUAACGUCCGUCGUGAAGAGGGAAACAACCCAGACCGCCAGCUAAGGUCCCAAAGUCAUGGUUAAGUGGGAAACGAUGUGGGAAGGCACAGACAGCCAGGAUGUUGGCUUAGAAGCAGCCAUCAUUUAAAGAAAGCGUAAUAGCUCACUGGUCGAGUCGGCCUGCGCGGAAGAUGUAACGGGGCUAAACCAUGCACCGAAGCUGCGGCAGCGGACGUAUCACCCAAGCAGAUUCACUGAAGUGGAUAACGAUUGACGGAGCGCAGCGACGUCAAUGCGCCAUCAAAGUCGAGUCGACUUCGGGAUACGUCCGUUGGGUAGGGGAGCGUUCUGUAAGCCGUCGAAGGUGUGCUGUGAGGCAUGCUGGAGGUAUCAGAAGUGCGAAUGCUGACAUAAGUAACGAUAAAGCGGGUGAAAAGCCCGCUCGCCGGAAGACCAAGGGUUCCUGUCCAACGUUAAUCGGGGCAGGGUGAGUCGACCCCUAAGGCGAGGCCGAAAGGCGUAGUCGAUGGGAAACGGGUUAAUAUUCCCGUACUGGGUGUUACUGCGAAGGGGGACGGAGAAGGCUAUGUUAGCCGGGCGACGGUUGUCCCGGUUUAAGCGUGCAGGCUUGAGUUCCAGGCAAAUCCGGAACUCUUUAAGGCUGAGGCGUGAUGACGAGGCACCACGGUGCUGAAGUAACAAAUGCCCUGCUUCCAGGAAAAGCCUCUAAGCAUCAGGUAACAUCCAAUCGUACCCCAAACCGACACAGGUGGUCAGGUAGAGAAUACCAAGGCGCUUGAGAGAACUCGGGUGAAGGAACUAGGCAAAAUGGUGCCGUAACUUCGGGAGAAGGCACGCUGGCGCGUAGGUGAAGCGACUUGCUCGUGGAGCUGAAGCCAGUCGAAGAUACCAGCUGGCUGCAACUGUUUAUUAAAAACACAGCACUGUGCAAACACGAAAGUGGACGUAUACGGUGUGACGCCUGCCCGGUGCCGGAAGGUUAAUUGAUGGGGUUAUCCGUAAGGAGAAGCUCUUGAUCGAAGCCCCGGUAAACGGCGGCCGUAACUAUAACGGUCCUAAGGUAGCGAAAUUCCUUGUCGGGUAAGUUCCGACCUGCACGAAUGGCGUAAUGAUGGCCAGGCUGUCUCCACCCGAGACUCAGUGAAAUUGAACUCGCUGUGAAGAUGCAGUGUACCCGCGGCAAGACGGAAAGACCCCGUGAACCUUUACUACAGCUUGACACUGAACAUUGAGCCUUGAUGUGUAGGAUAGGUGGGAGGCUUUGAAGCGUGGACGCCAGUCUGCGUGGAGCCAACCUUGAAAUACCACCCUUUAACGUUUGAUGUUCUAACCUGGCGCCGUAAUCCGGCGUGGGGACAGUGUCUGGUGGGUAGUUUGACUGGGGCGGUCUCCUCCCAAAGAGUAACGGAGGAGCACGAAGGUCAGCUAAUCACGGUCGGACAUCGUGAGGUUAGUGCAAUGGCAUAAGCUGGCUUGACUGCGAGAGUGACGGCUCGAGCAGGUGCGAAAGCAGGUCAUAGUGAUCCGGUGGUUCUGAAUGGAAGGGCCAUCGCUCAACGGAUAAAAGGUACUCCGGGGAUAACAGGCUGAUACCGCCCAAGAGUUCAUAUCGACGGCGGUGUUUGGCACCUCGAUGUCGGCUCAUCACAUCCUGGGGCUGAAGUAGGUCCCAAGGGUACGGCUGUUCGCCGUUUAAAGUGGUACGCGAGCUGGGUUUAGAACGUCGUGAGACAGUUCGGUCCCUAUCUGCCGUGGGCGCUGGAAGAUUGAGAGGGGUUGCUCCUAGUACGAGAGGACCGGAGUGAACGCACCGCUGGUGUUCGGGUUGUCAUGCCAAUGGCAUUGCCCGGUAGCUAAGUGCGGAAAAGAUAAGCGCUGAAAGCAUCUAAGCGCGAAACUUGCCUCGAGAUGAAUCUUCCCUGACUCCUUGAGAGUCCUGAAGGGACGUUGAAGACGACGACGUUGAUAGGCCGGGUGUGUAAGCGCAGCGAUGCGUUGAGCUAACCGGUACUAAUGACCCGUGAGGCUUAACCUU
This 2992-nucleotide ribosomal RNA is filed under the name Erwinia amylovora. RNAcentral describes it as "23S ribosomal RNA". It matches the Rfam family "Bacterial large subunit ribosomal RNA". The record is from RNAcentral. Lineage: Bacteria; Pseudomonadati; Pseudomonadota; Gammaproteobacteria; Enterobacterales; Erwiniaceae.